AGGGGUGCUAUGCUGCAAGUCGAGCGACGCAUGCCCAGUUCGUAAGAACAGGGUAUGACGGAGCGGCGAACGGGUGAGUAACACGUGAGCAACCUGCCCCACAGACCGGGAUAGCCCAAGGAAACUUGGAUUAAUACCGGAUUCCCUCGAACAAUCGCAUGGUUGAUCGAGGAAAGGCCUUUGUGCUGUGGGAUGGGCUCGCGGCUUAUCAGCUAGUUGGUGGGGUAAAGGCCUACCAAGGCAUCGACGAGUAGCUGGUCUGAGAGGACGAUCAGCCACACUGGAACUGAGACACGGUCCAGACUCCUACGGGAGGCAGCAGCAGGGAAUCUUGCGCAAUGGGCGAAAGCCUGACGCAGCAACGCCGCGUGGGGGAUGAAGGCCUUCGGGUUGUAAACCCCUUUCAGGAGGGAAGAAAUUGACGGUACCUCCAGAAGAAGGACCGGCCAACUACGUGCCAGCAGCCGCGGUAAUACGUAGGGUCCUAGCGUUAUCCGGAAUCAUUGGGCGUAAAGAGCUCGUAGGCGGUUCAGCAAGUCGGCUGUGAAAGUCCGAGGCUUAACCUCGGAAUUGCAGUCGAUACUGCUGUGACUCGAGUCCGGUAGAGGAGAAUGGAAUUCUCGGUGUAGCGGUGAAAUGCGCAGAUAUCGAGAGGAACACCAGUAGCGAAGGCGGUUCUCUGGGCCGGCACUGACGCUGAGGAGCGAAAGCGUGGGGGAGCAAACAGGAUUAGAUACCCUGGUAGUCCACGCCGUAAACGUUGGAUACUAGUGUGGCGGUUGUACCAACGACUACCGUGCCGAAGCUGACGCAUUAAGUAUCCGGCCUGGGGAGUACGACGCAGCUAAACUCAAGAUGACGGUCCCCGCACAGCGGCGGAGCAUGCGCUAAUUCGAAUGCAC
Molecule: ribosomal RNA, 902 nt
Filed under: uncultured bacterium
Lineage: Bacteria
Description: bacterial SSU rRNA
Rfam family: Bacterial small subunit ribosomal RNA
Source: RNAcentral